AUACUUACCUGGACGGGGUCGACGGCCGAUCAAGAAGGGUCGUGGCCUAGAUCAAUGGAUCACAUUGCACCUGGUGAGCGCGUUGGCCUACCAUCUCCUCAAGUGGGAGAGUGGACGUCGUAAUUUGUGGUAGAGGGGGUACGCGUUCGCGCGGCCCUGCC
Triticum aestivum (bread wheat) is the source of this 161-nucleotide non-coding RNA. The record is from Rfam. Lineage: Eukaryota; Viridiplantae; Streptophyta; Magnoliopsida; Poales; Poaceae.